RNAcentral lists this long non-coding RNA (1429 nucleotides) under Mytilus galloprovincialis (Mediterranean mussel). Lineage: Eukaryota; Metazoa; Mollusca; Bivalvia; Mytilida; Mytilidae. The record is from RNAcentral.
GCAAUUUUGAGGUUAUUACAUAUGCAAAACCCAACGUAUUCGUAACAAAUAUGUGAUAAGAUUAAAGAAGGAAUAUUUCUAUGAACAUGGGAUAUACAGGUAUUUCUUCAUACUAUUUAUUUGGAUUGAAUUAUAUUGCUAAAUUAUGUAAAUUAAUAUUUUUGUGUAAUGUUGAGUUACUACUUUAAAUUGCUAAAAAAAUGUUUAAAAGACAAUUGGCUUGCUUUUAAUGGCACUCAACUCCAGUAUAAAGUUGUUUAAUAUAAGUUCAUAAAUUAUCUAAAAAUGUAUCUCAGACCCAUUAGGGCUUUCAACAAUUGAAAGUGCACAGCCUCUAGUUGUAAUGUGUCUGAUAUUUAAACUUAGAUAAAAAAUAAUCAAUGUAUUAUAUACACUUAUUCAGUUGGACAAAACCAACUGUUAUCCAUAAAUUUCUGAGCGCUUACAUUUUUAUGACAUCUCUUAGCACUUUCCCAAUAGAAAUUUUGUGAAAAUUUCUUUCAAGUGAUGCUUGAAAAUAACUUAUAAUUUGACAAUGUAUGGUUCUAAUUAAAAUCUAGAAAAAAAAACGUCACCCACCUGCCGAAAUAUGUGAAUUAUGAAAAUGCAGAUUAGAAAUUUCUUUCAGUAACUGAUGUUUAUAAUUAAGUUAACCAUUUGAAAGAUCUGAAUUAUUAUGAUUUCAGUAUUUUUAAUGUCAAAAAGAUAUGUUGAUAAUUCAGGGAAACUUAAAAUUUUUUCAUUUUUCUAUUUGAAAAAAUAAUUUUGAAUGGCGAACAGAAAAUUUGAAAGUACUGGUAGUAGUUUUGUUUAUACAGGAGUCAUUCAGUAAAUAAUCUACUUUAAGUAUUUACAAUACAUGAGUUCAAAAACUUAAAAUGAAUCAAACAGAUCAUAUUGAAAAAAUAUACAUUUCAAUUCAAAACCUUGGGUAUUAGCAUAUAUAAGAAACCCAAGUAAAAUGAUUUCACUUUUAGUGUAUCCAGUUAUUUUGCUUAGCAUGGCCAAGCAGUUGUUUUGUUAAUUGUAAAUAAGAUAUGUUUUGUAUUAAUAUGAUCCAAAUAUACAUUGAAACCUUUGAAAUCUACAAAUUUUUGUACAUACUGUUUUUCUCUGAGUGUAAAUGAUAUUUUUAUUAUGUAUUUGUUGAUUCUAUUAACAUAGUUUAUUUAUAUAUUUUAUUAUGAAGUUUUAUUUUUGUAUCAUAUUUCCAUACACUAUACAGAUUUUGUAUGAAUUCCAUAGAUUUAGGCUUAUAUCGGCCACUUUUGAAUGCAUAAAAGACAUUUCUUUAGUAAACAAGGCAUAUGUAAUGUGUGUCACAUUUAUUAUAUCCCUGCCUACUAAAGCAGUAGUAUAUUUUAAAGAGUGUUUACUUGUCCACCUCAACUUUUUAUCAGCUAUUUUUCUGACAGUAGAGAACAUAUUU